Lagopus muta (rock ptarmigan) is the source of this 5911-nucleotide long non-coding RNA. RefSeq lists it as uncharacterized. NCBI's taxonomy places the organism in Eukaryota, Metazoa, Chordata, Aves, Galliformes, Phasianidae. The transcript is spliced from 3 exons. The record is from RefSeq and is a predicted model, not a curated record.
UCUCCUAUUGAGCAGCAGCAAAAUGUCUUUUAUCAUUUGAGGCAUAAAAUAACUCCAGGGAAAGAGAACUCCAUGGAAAGGACAACACCCUGCUCUCCUUUCAUUCACUAUUUGCCCUUCAAACCACCAGGAGCCUGAGGUGAUGAUAUUUGCAUGGGACACAAAAUAAUUUGAAUUACUCGAGGAUAGAGACUAGCCUGAAGAAUAUCAGAAGGACCUUGAGAAAGGAGGUGCUGAGGGAGUGUGAUGCCAAAUUAAAUUCUGCUCUUCUCAAAUGCCAGGUAGCCAGGAGGAAGGCAGAGGAGAUUUUUUGAACUACAGCAUCAACACAGGAGCAAAAUAUAUCACAUGCAGAAAAGCUUACAAUAAAACAACAUAAUGAGGACUUUACAGUCAGGCUGCUCUGCACUUGAGAUCCUUGUCAGAUCUGCCUGCAUCUCUUCUAAACUUUUAUUGAUGCAGUACAUAUGAAUGCUGGAAAAUUAAUAUUUAGAUUGUACUGCAAACUCUUCCAGUUACUUGAGCAGCAUGUCAUUCAUCACUGUGACUUCUUGUUUAAAACCUCUGGCACUUACAUCAUUAUCUUUCAGGGGGGCUUUUGUUGUUGUUUCUAGAGAUAAGUUUUUUUUGGCUCUGGCAUCUCAUUAACCUGAUUUAGAGAUUCUCCUACCUCUGCUCUUGCUGCAAAAUUGAAUUCACAAAUGCUCAUGCAGGAGAUGAUUAGGGAUUCUCUUUGAGUUUGUCCCAACAUAACUGCCUAAUAUGACUAAAAAGAAAGAUAUAAAAAGUAUUUCAAGUCCUCAGAAAUGAAUUCAAAAGAAUAUGAAUAUCGGGGCCUUGGUUAGUAGCAGGCAGUGCAUGGGUACCAGGAUAAUGGAAAUCACUCAGUUUCCUUAGGAUGGGCACAAGUACAAUGACAUAACCAUUGCCUUAUAUCAGAGCAAAUAUUUCCAGGAAAAAGGAACAAGUAAAAGAUAACCUUAAUGCCAGUAAAACAGUCUCUACAAGGAAUUUUAUCUGUUCAUAAAUAAAUAAAUAGAGAAAAAAUAACAUAUUUUCCUUUCUCAGUAAAAUACCUAUAAAGGCGUAAUAAAAUUGUUGGUAACAACAGACAAGGAGAAGGCCGAGGUGCUCAACAAUCUUUUUGCCUUGGUCUUCCCUGGUCAUCACACAGCCCUAGUUAGAUUAGAAGGAAGGAACUGGGGAAGCAAUGACCCUUGUGCUGUAAGUAAAAAUCUGGUUCGUGACCACCUAAAGAAUAUGGACAUUAAUGAGUCUAUGGAUCCUGAUGAGAAGCAUCCCAGGGUCCUGAGGGAAUUGGCUGAUGUAGCUGCCAAGCCACUCUCAAGGAUAUUUUAAAAGUCAUAGCAAUCAGGUGAAGCUCCUGGUGACUGAAAAAAGGCAACAUCACACCCACUUUUAAGAAGGGUAAAAAGGAUGACCCUGGGAACUACUGACCUGUCAGUCCCAUCUCUAUGCUGGGAAAGACCAUGGAAGCUAUGCUAACACACAUGGAAGGCAGGGAGGUGAUACAGGAGAACAAGCAUGGCUUUACCAAGGGCAAAUCCUGCUCAAUCAACUUCGUGGACUUCUAUGAUGAUGUAACUGAAUCAAAGGGUAAGGGAAGAUCCACUGAUGUCAUCUAUCCAGAUUUCAGUAAGGCCUUUGACAUGGUACCCCACAACAUUCUUCUCUCCAAAAAGGAAAGAUAUGGAUUUGAUGAACGGACUGUUCAACAGACAAAGAACGGUCAAUGGCUCAAUGUCUGGAUGGAGAUUAGUGACAAGUGGUGUUCCCCAGGGGUCAGUGCUGGGGCUGAUACUUUUUGAUACCUUCACCAAUGACACUGACAGUGGGUGGGGUCAAGUGUACCCUCAGAAAGUUUGUGGAUGGCACUAAGCUCUGGGGUGUGGUUGACACGCCUGAGGGACAGGAUGCUAUCCAGAGAGACAGGUUUGAGCAGUGGGCCCAGGUGAACCUCACAAGGGUCAAUAAAUCUAAGUGCAAGGUGCACCUGAAUCAAGGCAACCUCCACUACCAAUACAAGCUGGGGGAUAAAAAGAUUGAAUGCAGCCCUGCUGAAAAGGACCUGGGAAUGCUAGUGGAUGGCAAAAAGGACAUGAGCCAAAAAUCUGCCCUUGCAGCCCAGAAAGCCAACCAUAACCUGGGCUGCAUCAAAGGGAGCAUGGACAGCAGGUCAAGGGAGGUGAUCCUGCCCCUCUACUCAUCACUGAUGAGGCAUCACCUGAAGUACAGCAUCCAGAUGCAGAGUCCUCAGUACAGAAGAAACAUGGACUUAUUGGAGAGUGUCCAGAGGAGGGCCCAAAAAAUGAUCUAAGGGAUGGACACCUUUCCAGUGAGUACAGGUUGAGAGAGCUGAGGCUCUUCAGUUUGCAGAAGAGAAAGCUCUGGGGUGACCUGAUAGUGGCCUAAAAGUUAGUAGCUAAAAGAGAGCUAUGGGAAAGAAGGGAAUAGACUCUUUAGCAGGGUCCAUGGGGAAAGGACAAGGGGAAAUAGUUUCAAACUUAAAGAGGGGAGAGUUAGGUUGGAUAUAAGGAAAACAGUAUUUUACAGUGAGGGGAUGAGGCACUGGAAUAGGUUGCCCAGAGAGGUGGUGGAUGCCCCAUCCCUGGAGACACUCAAGAUCAGGCUUGACCAGGGUCUGAGCAACAUGAUCUUGCUGUGCAUGACCUUGUUCAUUGCAGGGGAGUUGGUCUAGAUGACCUUUAAAGUUCUCUUCCAACUCAAAGGAUUCUACGAAAAGUUAUAUUUGAAUUUAUUGAAAUUCACACAUACUCUCCAUUUUGGAGUAUAGUGAUUUUACGUUCAGUCCUCUGACCAGACAGAAGACGUUUUCAGAAUGGUUUUUCCCCUUGCUACUUCCUGUGGUUUCAAUGUUUCUAAUCCAUUGCAGAGGGAGCAGAUAAACUCAAUAGAAAAGCCAGAACACUUUCCAGCCUGGCUCGCACCAGCUGCAUCUCCAACUGGUGUGACUAUGCAAACACUGGUGUGAGCAAUCCCUCUGCAGCUGAUGCUGAUGCGAACUUGUGCUUAGUGUAGGACCCAGGGAGUGUUACUGCAUCCUCCGCUAACACAGAAACAUAAGUCUGCAUAGUUUUAGUAGCAGCUGUCAAGAGCUGUUCUGAACUCAGUAAAACACUGCAUAACUUUGGUGUUAGCUGAAUACCCCUCAUUUUCCACGCCCCUAAGCACAUAAUAUUCUAAUAGGGACAGCAUGAGAACCAGGACUAUGCCACAUAAAGCUACAAUAACCCCCAGUAAACCUGUGCUUAGGUUUGCAUACAGACAUUGAGAUUGUCUCUACAAGUGGUCAAAAACACACUAUAUCUCUAACCCUGCACUCACUAACUUGCAGUCAGCUCCCAUAUCCACAACCAAAGCACAUUAUUUCUUUAAUGUCUGGUCCCUUUAGACACUAAAUGGGUGACACAGACUUUCUAUUUGCUUACAGGAAUGUUACUGCAACCUCUCCUUGAUUCUGCUCCAGUGUCCACCAGUUAGCCUUGAAGUAGAUAUAAUAAGCUCCAUCACUGAUACGUGGUGCUGAUGCUUUCUGGUUGAAACUCACUCUUCUACUUCCAGAGGAUGACAGCUGUUCGUGUCCUUUAAUCCCCCUGCCUGGCAUAGAGCUUUACCCUUAUUUCAGCGCUGCAUACAUUUGGUUUAUGUGGCUUCUCAGAAGAUGCUAAUAAGAUGCUUUUUCCCUUUUCCUAACUUCUGAAACUGAUUAGCUCAGAAAAAUUAUGUUAGGGGUGUUGUAACUCCUUUACUGCGGAUUCAAGUAUUUAAGAUGUGUAGUAUUUCAUUUGGACUGUGCCAUCCAUGGCCUCAGGGUAAUCAGGAAUAAAACAUAGCAUCACUGACUCUCUGGCAUGUUUUCCCUGAAUAUGUUGUAGAUUUCACACUUGAGUACCUUAUCUCCGGCAGCACUGUUUGUGGCUGGACAGAGUUCUGUGAGCAGCACUGGAUACUACAAGCUCUUCUCCACUCAAGAUUUCCUAUGGAUUUUGCACCACAUUAAUGAACUUGUAUGAUACGCUAUUGUGACAAUCUUUCUGACAAAAAAUCCCAUCACUCUGAGCUAUUCCUUGCCCAUAAUCGCAAAGCCUUUUGUGUACUUGGUCGGCUAUUCUUUUGUUAGUCUCUGCCUAUGAUGGCUCUCUCCAGCUCCUGUGUAGUUAGCUCAUUUUACAUUUCUCGUUUGAACUUGUCAGAUUUCUUGUCGGUAAUAGGUAGCACUUAAAUCACAUUUACUUCAAACUCUUCUUCCUGCAGCUUCUUUUCACUGUUUAUCAGUACUCUUGAAACCAGUCUAUUAUAAGAAGCUCUUUACUGGGCCACUAUUUCAGCCUAAUGAGAAUUUUUGCAAUUUCACGAUCAUUUUUUGAAAGUCCAGGUAGUGCUUUGCACAAAGAUUUCUGUAAUACAUCUUUUGGAGGUUUACAGCCUUCCUCUCCUCUAACCUAUUUCUCCCCAUAAACAUAUUUAUGAAACAAUUGCUGGCAUCUCUUUUUCCAGUCUGAAAAUUUCCCUUUUGCAUUGCUAGUGUUUCAGAAAAAUUCACAGCCAUGCAGAAGGGCAAGAUACAGAAUCACACAAUCAUUGGGUCUGGAGGGAUCCAUGAGGAUAAUCGAGUCCAGCUCCUGGCCCCACACAGGACCACCCAAAAUCAGACCCUAUGUCUGAGAGCACUGUCCAUCACUCCUUGAACUCUGCCACUCAGGGCCGUGCCCACAGCCCUGUGCAUCCCGCUCCAUGCCCACCGCGCUGUGGUGCAGCCCCUUUCCCUGACCCCCAGCUGCCCUCCCCUGACAGCUCCAUGCCGUUCCCUCGGGCCCUGUCGCUGUCACACAGAGCAGAGCUCAGCGCUGCCCCUCCGCUCCCUGUGAGGAGCUGCAGCCGCCAUCAGGCCUCCCCUCAGCUCCUCUGCUCUGCACUGAGCACACCAAAUGCUUAUGUUGUCUACAGGCUGGAUUCAGAGACAUUUUUUGGCUCCAGCAACACGGGAUGGAGCAGUUGUCAUUGCCUUCGGCAGGUUGUUUCACACUGUAGCUAAUUGCUGCAGACUUCUCCCACAUCCUAUCUUAGCCAGCCUCCCGUGCUGUCUGGAUGACUUUUCACAAGGCCUAGCCUUUUCAAGGUUUCAGCUCUUCAAGGUGGGAGUAUUUUGUUCAGUUUGACUCAUUAUCAAGCUGUUGCAUUUUGCAAUUACAAAAAAAAAAAAAAAAGAAAAAGAAAAAAAAAAGCUCUAAUGAAAGCCUUUAAGCCCAAGCCUCCGCAAUCAUCCUUGUAGUCCUCAGCACCCUGAGCUCCUUUCUCAGUCACUGAGGCUGUCUGUCCAUGUAGCUCCCUUUUGCUCCUCUGGGGAAAAAGGCAGAACUUGGCUCAGUAGGGCCUUCUGCAGUAGUUCUACCUGAAGGCCAUAAGUAGUUCAGGACUAACAUAGCUGUUGCUUCCAUGGGAAUUGUGAUUGCUGUGAAAAGCAGAGCUCAGCCCCUGCCCUUGUAAAUGAGUGAGACCUGAGGUGGGAUUCUGUGUGAUGCUGGGCCUGCACAUUGCUGGAGGAAAUCAGAAGCUUCUCUGGGCUGCAGCUAAUACACUAAAUCUGUGUGGGAACUUAAAAAACCUAAUGUUAAUAUACAUUAACUCUCACUUUUGUACCUCACAUUCCCUUGACAGGUUUUUAAAUACCUCUGCUUAAUUCCUGCGCUUCCACACCUUCCACUGGAUGUUUUUGUGCAGUCUAUACAGACAGCCACCAAAUGGAAGAUGGUUUGUUUGAAGACUACAUCGAGAGACAACAAAUAGGGCCCAAAGAAAUGUAUUAGAUUUUGAAUGUCAUGUUGUAAGCCGGUUUGGGUGCUUCUGAGCAGGUGUUUUUAAAAAGCUG